This 447-nucleotide ribosomal RNA is filed under the name uncultured bacterium. RNAcentral's name for it is "bacterial SSU rRNA". It matches the Rfam family "Bacterial small subunit ribosomal RNA", at positions 29 to 524 of the family's 1533-position model. The record is from RNAcentral.
AACGAACGCUGGCGGCAGGCCUAACACAUGCAAGUCGAGCGCCCAGCAAUGGGAGCGGCAGACGGGUGAGUAACGCGUGGGAACCUUCCCAAUGGUACGGAAUAGCUCAGGGAAACUUGAGGUAAUACCGAAUAAGCCCGAAAGGGGAAAGAUUUAUCGCCAUUGGAUGGGCCCGCGUAGGAUUAGCUAGUUGGUGAGGUAAUGGCUCACCAAGGCGACGAUCCUUAGCUGGUUUGAGAGAAUGACCAGCCACACUGGGACUGAGACACGGCCCAGACUCCUACGGGAGGCAGCAGUGGGGAAUCUUGGACAAUGGGCGCAAGCCUGAUCCAGCCAUGCCGCGUGAGUGACGAAGGUCUUCGGAUUGUAAAGCUCUUUUGCCAGGGACGAUAAUGACGGUACCUGGAGAAUAAGCCCCGCUAACUUCGUGCCAGCAGCCGCCGUAAG